AAUAUUAAUAAUGUUUUCAUUUGAGAUCAUUGCCCUUCAUGCCAAAAUUAUUGGUUGGAAAGGGAACAAAAGGUUUAUAAGUUGAGAUUAAAGGAGAACUGGUCCACCUAAGUUUCUGAUGCCCCUGUAUGCUGUGUUGACGAUAUGUGUAACUGUGUUUGAGUUUCCGCGUUAAUUACUUUUACAAUGAUUUUACUGGAUGGAAGAUAUUUUCAUUUCUCUCUUGUUA
Molecule: unclassified non-coding RNA, 229 nt
Filed under: Hevea brasiliensis (rubber tree)
Lineage: Eukaryota; Viridiplantae; Streptophyta; Magnoliopsida; Malpighiales; Euphorbiaceae
Source: RNAcentral